This 103-nucleotide ribosomal RNA is filed under the name Stenotrophomonas maltophilia. RNAcentral also lists the same sequence under 5 other names. The record is from RNAcentral. Lineage: Bacteria; Pseudomonadati; Pseudomonadota; Gammaproteobacteria; Lysobacterales; Lysobacteraceae.
AGCGCUGUGGAACCACCCGAUCCCAUCCCGAACUCGGAAGUGAAACGCAGCUGCGCCGAUGGUAGUGUGGCUCAAGCCAUGCGAGAGUAGGUCAUCGCCAGGG